Molecule: ribosomal RNA, 253 nt
Filed under: uncultured bacterium
Lineage: Bacteria
Description: partial 16S ribosomal RNA
Rfam family: Bacterial small subunit ribosomal RNA
Source: RNAcentral
UACGUAGGGUGCGAGCGUUAAUCGGAAUUACUGGGCGUAAAGCGUGCGCAGGCGGUUCGUUAAGUUCGUUGUGAAAGCCCCGGGCUCAACCUGGGAACUGCAAUGGAAACUGGCGGGCUUGAGUGUGGCAGAGGGGGGUGGAAUUCCGCGUGUAGCAGUGAAAUGCGUAGAGAUGUGGAGGAACACCGAUGGCGAAGGCAGCCUCCUGGGCCAGCACUGACGCUCAUGCACGAAAGCGUGGGGAGCAAACAGG